AAAAACAGGCACAAACUCUGCAGGAGUUGAACUGAUGUGUGGUGUUAAAGGGGAAAUCUGCAAUUGCUACAUCCAUUUUUGAACUUUAAAUUUUUUUAUUUAUAGCCAAUUGAUUCUUGAAGAAUAUAACACAUGCCUCAUGAGCUGAGUUCAACUGUCAUACCCCAGGCCUCUCGGAUGGCGCCAUUAUAGGAUUAAGCACAGAUAACUAUAGGCCAUUAUAGGAUUAAGUUGGGUCCUACAGUAGGUCUAUCUUGUUGUUAGGUGAAGUUAUGGGUCCUACACUAGGUCUAUGUUAUUGUCAUGUGAAGUUAUUUGUCCUAUGUUGUUCAGUGAUGUUAUGGGUCCGACAGUUGGUCUACGUUGUUGUUCGGUGUUGUUAUAAAUUCUACAGUAGGUCUAUGUUGUUGUUAGGUGAAGUUAUGGGUCCUAAAGCAGAUAGGACCCAGUAGGUAGGACCCAUUAGGUGAAGUUAUGGGUCCUACAGUAGGUUUAUGUUGUUAGUUGAAGUUAUGGGUCCAACAGUAGGUCUAUAUUGUUGUUUGAUGAAGUUAUGGGUCCUAGGGUAGGUUUAUGUUGUUGUUAGGUGAUGUUAUAGGUCCUACAGUAGGUCUAUAUUGUUGUUAGGUGAAGUUAUGGGUCCUACACUAGGUCUAUGUUAUUGUCAUGUGAAGUUAUUUGUCCUAUGUUGUUCGGUGAUGUUAUGGGUCCGACAAUAGGUCUAAGUUGUUGUUAGGGGAAGUUAUGGGUCCUAAAGUAGGUAGGGCCCAGUAGGGAGGACCCAUUAGGGGAAGUAAUGGGUCCUACAGUAGGUUUAUGUUGUUAGUUGAAGCAUGGCACUAUUGGUGGCUCGGUGUGUAUUAAAACAUCACCACACGAAAAUCACUACAUGCCGUGCCCCCCAAUAGUGCCAUGCUUCAACUAACAACAUAAACCUACUGUAGGACCCAUUACUUCACCUACGCCAUCUAAACAAAAAUCAAAGAAUAUUAACUAUAUGCAGUUAUCUUAGCCGGCCAGCUAACAUUAGCUAUUUAGCAAAUUAGCUAUGGUCAGCGAGCUGGAGCCCGACUAUCAGAGAGAGACCAGUUAGAACCCGAUUAACAAAACCCAACUAAAACAUAACUGCAGAUCAAAAGAGCAGAGACAUACAGAAUGAUGUCAGGGAAAAUCCCCAAUAUCCAAAAUAGAAAGAUUACAGAUGUCAGUCAGCUAGUGCGCUAGCAGUAAUUCAAGGUUGUAAAAGUUACAAAACUCCCAUAGUCUACUUCACAGAGAACAUGCUGAAAGUAGGGAUGGGGAAACAAAGCUUCCUGAAGCAUUGACACUUUCCAACCAAUUGUGUCAUAAAUAGGUUCAUUACUCAAGGCUUUGAGCGACACAGAAUUUAGAACAGCCACAUUAUUAUAGAUGACCUCACACACGUCGUAGUGCCUGCGCAGUGUAGCCUUUGUGUCAUCUACUAAACCACUGGCCAUGUUCGAGAACAUCAAAUCCAUGCUGCAUUGUGGGUAAAUUAUGACUGGCCGACUGAUGUAUAAAUAAUAAUGAGUAGUUAUUUAUGAUGCAAGGUGAUUUGUAGGUCUGUCAGUCAGAAGUUGGCUGCAAUGUCAAACAAUCCCAAUACCAAACCAAUCAGGUGGUUGUUUCGACGAAAUGAAUCUUCAGACCCCAUUGAUGACAUAAUGCUGAUAAAGUGAUACAGGCAUCGGCACACUGCUUUGAAGUUUACUGCUUAGCGAUUUGGACGCAUGCCUCGUACCUCCAGUGUCUAAUGUAACAUCCCUAUUGAAAUGUUGACAACAAAAAAAAGGAGCAAGCAUAUUGAUUUCCUCUGUUGUUUUGAACCCACGGCCAGAAGGCAUCAGAGCCCACCGUGCUAACACAUUCCCACUAAAUAACAUAACCACACAGUUCAUGAAAAUCAUGAGGUGUGGUUAACGUUUGCAAGCAUGAGCUAGAUAUCGACCUAGUGUGACCUUCCUGGUCCCCCAAGUCAGUGAGUCAACACAGUAAGGAGUAAAUGAAUGGAGGGUUCAUUUAUUUCUAAAGCUGCAAUGAUGGGACACACACAGUAUGGAUGAAUGAUCAGUAGUGACGUGAUAUAAAUAGCACUCCCACAGCAAUUCUCCAUAAAUCUGCCCUACAAUAUACUAACAAAAAACGAUUGAAAUGUCUAUUAAAGUCAUUGUGAUUGUACAGUGGAUUUAACAAUUCCUACUAAUUCCUAAUUUACAAUAAUAAAAUGAAUACAUUGUUUCCAUGUGUAAUCUCAUAUUCACAACAUCAGAAUAAACUGUCAUCCAUUUUAGUAUCAAAAUAUAUCAAAUUUACCCAAAGAAUUAUUCAAUGUCCCCCUCUGGUGGCGAAGAAGUAUAUACACCUAAACUAACAAAACCGGGCUGAUAAACUGGCUGGUGUUCAUGAGUUUAUAAAACAUAUACUUUGAAUGAUCAGUAGUCGACAGGGCAAAAAUAGCGCUCCUAAAGAUUAAUGCAUUUUCCAGUUAGCUACCAACUUGAAAGAUGGAACUUUAGCAUAAAACACACAUGGAAAACUGAGAUUUGGCAAGUGACUUAUAAAGUGAGGCUUAUUUGACGCGAAACCAACAACAGUAGUUACUAAAACAUAAAUUGCUAAUGUAUGAUGUAAUGUCAACUUUAUACAUUUCUAUCCCAGGACCACUCAAUUUUCAAAUUCUCAAAAAAUCUGCUGUGGAUUACCCAGAAACCCAAUUGAGUGGUCCUGGGAUAGAAAUGUAUAAAGUUGACAUUAUGGGUCCGACAGUCUGCGACUUCAAGGCAAUUCUGCUAGUGUGACGUAUAAUCUAGUGGACGGAACGCUUCUUUCAAAUGCAGCAACAGUUAGUCAGACACCUCUUUAGCUUGCUAGACAAAAUAGCCGAACCAAUAAAGCUCUUUAGACGCUUUAGUGUAUAUUAUAUUAGUUGUUCAGUGUAUAUUAUUUGUUUUAAGCCCACUUCUGUCGUCUAGUUAGUUAUCCGAUUUAAUUUCAUAUUUACGGUGUUGUUGUUAUUAGUCAACUAGCGGGCUGGUUAAGUUAGCAUUAGCUAGCCAUCUAACAUCUCCGUCCAUGAGUUCACUACGCUACCCUCCUCCUGUUAAAGGAGAGGAGAUAUGCUGGACGGAGGAAGAAGAGAAGGAUGUUUCAAUACAAAAACAAGUAGAGGGUGAGGCUGUUAACGUGGAAGAGAAAGACUUUUCAGUGAAAGAAGAAGAGAAAGACUCGUUCAGAGUGAAAGAGGAAGUUACAGUAAAAGAAGAAGAUGCCGUUUUUGGAGUGAAAGAGGAGGGGGAGAUGACUGUCACAUCCAAAAGGAGGAAGAAGAGGAGGAAACUGGAUAUCUGGGCCCGGUUUCCCAAACUCAUCUUAAGGCACCCAAUGGUUCUAACGAACUUAGCCGUAAGAUGGUUUUGAGAAGCCGGGCCGCGAUUAACACUAGAGAGAGGCCGGGCAGUCGUGGAUCCUCUGGGGAGCCUCAACAACCUCAUGAUGCUGACGAGGCAGAGAAGAGUCUCUCCAGAUCAGAACACCUCAAGAAACACUGCAGAGAUCAAAAGGGAAGAGAACUCACUGCUGCUCUGACUGUGGGAAGAGAUUCACCUCAUCAGGCAUUAAAAUUCAUCAGAGAACACACACAGAAGAGAAAUCUUAUAGCUGUGGUCAAUGUGGGAAGUUUAACUGAGUCUAGCAAUCUGAUGAAUCACCAGAGAAUACACACAUGAGAGAAACCGUAUAGCUGUGAUCAAUGUGGGAACAGUUUUGUUCGGUCUGACCAUCUGACUCUACACCAGAGAACACACAGGAGAGAAAACUUAUAGCUGUGAUGAAUGUGGAAAGAGUUUUACUUCAUCUAACCAUUGUACACCAGAGAACACACACAGGAGAGAAACCUCAUAGCUGUGAUCAAUGUGACAAGAGAUACUCUGAUAAAAGCUGAUCAAACAUCAGAAAAUACAUACAUGGAGGAGUUGUUUCAUGAUAUCAAUGAAAUAUCCCACUUAGCAAAAUGUAGUUGAAAAUAAGACUAAGUCCGAAGUCCAAUAUACAUUGGUUGAAAGUGAAAGUUGAGAAGAUGUUUUUCUGGCCAUUUAACUUAAUUUCAACGUACUUGCAGCCUAUACACAUGGAUGCAGUGUAAUAAAUUAGUAUAUAAUCAAUUCUAUUAACAAUCCUACAUCGCUCCAGUAUUUCUUAACAUUCAAGUGCUACUUGUCUUUAUUCCACUACUGAAGAAGCAUGACUCACAUCACCUCAUAUUUCAAACAUUCAGCCUGCCAAAAUAUACAUGUUUUAUUAGUCCAUGCCUCACCACUAAGUUAAUUAUUGCCAAUACAUUUUAACAAAGGAGUGUACAUUUGGUUUUGAUCAUUCAUAUUUACAAAUCAUGUAACAUUUAGUAAUCAUAAUUAUUUAUGCAACCAACUGACAAUUUUUGGCUACAAUUAUAUUGACAUUGUUGCCCUGCUUAUAAAAUACCAGAGUUCAUUCUCAGAUGUGCCAACCCAAAUGUACUAGAGCAUGACAUUGGGGACUGGGCCCCGAUCCAACAACAUCCUUAUCAAGUGAACCCUGAAAAGUGAGAGAAGCUCUGCAUGGAGGUGGAAAGUUACUACAGAUAUUAAGGAAUGAGAAGCUAGUGAGCUUUAGGAAGAUGAGAGUUCUAGAAGCUAGUGAGUUUUAGGAAAUCAAAUCAAAUUUAUUUAUAUAGCCCUUCGUACAUCAGCUGAUAUCUCAAAGUGCUGUACAGAAACCCAGCCUAAAACCCCAAACAACAAGCAAUGCAGGUGUAGAAGCACGGUGGCUAGGAAAAACUCCCAAAACCAAAACCUAGGAAGAAACCUAGAGAGGAACCAGGCUAUGUGGGGUGGCCAGUCCUCUUCUGGCUGUGCCGGGUGGAGAUUAUAACAGAACGUGGCCAAGAUUUUCAAAUGUUCAUAAGUGACCAGCAUGGUCCAAUAAUAAUAAGGCAGAACAGUUGAAACUGGAGCAGCAGUACGGCCAGGUGGUCUGGGGACAGCAAGGAGUCAUCAUGUCAGGUAGUCCUGAGGCAUGGUCCUAGGGCUCAGGUCCUCCGAGAGAAAGAAAGAGAGAAUUAGAGAGAGCACACUUAAAUUCACACAGGACACCGAAUAGGACAGGAGAAGUACUCCAGAUAUAACAAACUGACCCUAGCCCCCCCCCCACACACACACACACAUAAACUACUGCAGCAUAAAUACUGGAGGCUGAGACAGGAGGGGUUCUAGAAGCUAGUGAGUUUUAGGAUUCUAUAGAAAGAAAAAGGAGACAAAAAUAAAACGAUUGGUAUAUUCAUAUUUAGAAAUACGUGUUUUUCUUGUUUUUAAUUGUUGCCAGCCAGUAGACACCAUGUUUAUAUUUUAGAAGGUGAAGCAGUGUAGUUGAUAAUAAUGUGAAAUUGAAGUUUUCUGUUGGUGGUGAGCAAACCUGUCCAUCCAUAUAGGAUAUAUUUGUCUUAAAGGGGAACGUUUUACAGGCUUUGGUUUUUCCAUUUAUGUUUUGUGGUUGGAUUUUAGCACGUCUAGCUCGUCAAUACGUAAAGCUCGUCAGCGCGUAUAGCUCAUUAGCGUAUACGCUCGUUAGUCAAUGUGUUACACCUGUGCUGGCUUGUCCAUCAUGUUGUUAAUAUUUUAAUCAAUGGAUUUUCCUUAGAGUGCUCAUUAGUCUUUCAGAUGUUAAUCUUCUGUUUGUUAUCCUCUUAUGUUUGUUGUGUGUUAAAUAUUUCAGUUUAUUUUCAUUGUUUUUUAUUUUUGUAAAUUCAUGUGAAGCCAUUGUGUUGCAUCCAUGUCUGAAAUGUGCUGUAUAAAUAAAGCUUGAUUUGAACAUAUUGCAAAACAAAUUAACCCAA
This is a long non-coding RNA of Oncorhynchus nerka (sockeye salmon), 5890 nucleotides long. RefSeq lists it as uncharacterized. Lineage: Eukaryota; Metazoa; Chordata; Actinopteri; Salmoniformes; Salmonidae. The record is from RefSeq and is a predicted model, not a curated record. The transcript is spliced from 2 exons.